CCUACGGGGGGCAGCAGUGGGGGAUAUUGCACAAUGGGGGAAACCCUGAUGCAGCGACGCCGCGUGAGUGAAGAAGUAUUUCGGUAUGUAAAGCUCUAUCAGCAGGGAAGAAAAUGACAGUACCUGACCAAGAAGCCCCGGCUAACUACGUGCCAGCAGCCGCGGUAAUACGUAGGGGGCAAGCGUUAUCCGGAUUUACUGGGUGUAAAGGGAGCGUAGACGGGUAUGUAAGCCUGGAGUGAAAGCCCGGGGCCCAACCCCGGGACGGGUUUGGAAACUGUGUAACUGGAGUACAGGAGGGGCAGGCGGAAGUUCGGGUGUAGGGGGGAAAUGGG
Molecule: ribosomal RNA, 335 nt
Filed under: uncultured bacterium
Lineage: Bacteria
Description: partial 16S ribosomal RNA
Rfam family: Bacterial small subunit ribosomal RNA
Source: RNAcentral